RNAcentral lists this unclassified non-coding RNA (300 nucleotides) under Entoloma conicosericeum. RNAcentral's name for it is "partial internal transcribed spacer region". The stretch from base 1 to 46 matches the Rfam family "Eukaryotic small subunit ribosomal RNA", at positions 1786 to 1831 of the family's 1831-position model. The record is from RNAcentral. Lineage: Eukaryota; Fungi; Basidiomycota; Agaricomycetes; Agaricales; Entolomataceae.
AAGUCGUAACAAGGUUUCCGUAGGUGAACCUGCGGAAGGAUCAUUAUUGAAUAAACUUGGUUAGGUUGUUGCUGGCUCUUAGGAGCAUGUGCACACCGACUCCAUUUUUAACCACCUGUGCACCUUGCGUAGAUCUGAUACUCUCGAGGAAACUCGGUUUGAGAAUUGCCGUGCAAACAGCUUUUCUUGUAUUCAGGUCUAUGUUUCUACAUACACCACAUGAAUGUAUUUUGAAUGUCGUCAUUGGCCUUGUGCCUUUAAAAACAAAUACAACUUUCAACAACGGAUCUCUUGGCUCUC